Molecule: ribosomal RNA, 253 nt
Filed under: uncultured bacterium
Lineage: Bacteria
Description: partial 16S ribosomal RNA
Rfam family: Bacterial small subunit ribosomal RNA
Source: RNAcentral
UACGUAGGGACCAAGCGUUGUUCGGAUUUACUGGGCGUAAAGAGCGCGUAGGCGGUCCGGUAAGUCGGUUGUGAAAGUCGGGGGCUCAACCCUCGGAUGCCGAUCGAUACUGUCGGGCUAGAGUCCGGAAGAGGCGAGUGGAAUUCCUGGUGUAGCGGUGAAAUGCGCAGAUAUCAGGAGGAACACCAAUGGCGAAGGCAGCUCGCUGGGACGGUACUGACGCUCAUGCACGAAAGCGUGGGGAGCAAACAGG